GUGUGUGUGUGUGUGUGUGUGUGUGUGUGUGCCUCAGUGUGGAUGCUUCAAGUGUCAGACGGGUCGGUGAUGUGUGUGUGUGGAUUGUUUUUUUGAUAACACACAGUUUGAAAAAACGUCCCCUUCAAAUAGGGAAACAGCGGACGUUGAUCUUUACAAGCAGCUGUUUCGGUUCCUCGUAAAUGAUUUGAUGGGUUUAACCCCACGACGAGGAAUUUCCUGUGGACCUUGUGGACAGAAGCCGAUUCCCUCUAGAAAAGCUCUGGUUUUACUGCAGCAGGUCUGACAGGAGCCUGUGGUUCUGGUUCUGGUUCUGCAAACCUGCAUUAUGUUUAGGACUUUAAGACUAAGAAUCCUGCGCAGACAAUUUACUUCACACAUAACUAUGAGAACUCAGAACGCCUGCAUGGGUUCCUCUCAUAUCUCAGUUCAAGCUCUUUUGUUACUUUUCCAGUGUCCGGGGGUCCAUGAGUGACGGGGGUGACCCCCCCCACCGGACCCCCAGAGAAGCAGCCGUGUUGUCGAAGCCUCAAAUGAACCAGAUGAUCCCCGUUCCUGCAUCAUCACCAUUCAAAUCAUGACAGUUACAACUGUAACCCCCCCCCCUCGUCUCUCUUUCCGCUCUUUAGCAGUGUUUUAAUUUGUCUCUCGGCUGCUGCCGCAAUCAAUCUGUCGAGAUGGAAAUGCAAAUCUGCAAUUAGCUGCUUGGCGACGGUUGGCGAAGCCCAAAUUGGUUUGGCUCGUGCUGAUCCGCCACGUUCCCUCUGUCACCUGAAACGACUGUACGAUGCUCACGGAGCGCCGGCCUGUUUGGGGCGGCCUGUUUGGGGCAGGCUGUGUGGGACGGCCUGUGUGGGGCGGCCUGUGUGGGGCGGCCUGUGUGGCGCAGGCUGUGUGGGGCGGCCUGUGUGGCGCAGGCUGUGUGGGGCGGCCUGUGUGGGGCGGCUUGUUUGGGGCGGCCUGUUUGGGGCAGGCUGUGUGGGGCGGCUUGUUUGGGGCGGCCUGUUUGGGGCAGGCUGUGUGGGGCGGCUUGUUUGGGGCAGGCUGUGUGGGGCGGCCUGUGUGGGCGGCCUGUGUGGGGCGGCCUGUUUGGGGCGGCCUGUGUGGGGCGGCUUGUUUGGGGCGGCCUGUGUGGGGCGGCUUGUUUGGGGCGGCCUGUGUGGGGCCUUCAGGGAGAUAACGAGGCUCCACAGGGGGUGGACAGAAUAACAGCAACACCCUACAGCAGAACGCCGGUCACAGAGGAGGCUCCGCUGUGAAGCUUUUCCUCUUCGGGGGUUUUGGUGGAAAUGGGUCGACGGUUACCUUGGUCGACGCCCCCGUGUGCAGCAGAUGGGAGAACAUGCGUGUUCCAUAACAGCAUGACGAUGCCGUGCCACGACAACACGCACUAGUGUCACCUGGCGUGACCAAUGCAGCUUAUGGCCUCACAGGGGGGUCCCACACAGCCCCCGCAUACAGGUGGAGUGCGUUAGUCCUCCCAUCCAGCAGGAGAAGAUCAACCAGUACUUAGUUUGGGUGGAAACGGUUGUGAAAAAGGCCAGAAACAUGUUUAUUAGGUUUAAGAUUAUUUCUUCUAGUACUCUAUUAAAAAAUAUCAAGAAACACUUUUUUAUAUUUUGUUCAAAUAGCAAUAACAAUGGUGCCUUUAAUGUAUUUGUUAGGGAGUUCAGACACAAAUGUCACUACUUGUCACUGGGCAGAAGGAGACGGGACAGAAGUUCUGGGAUCUCCACGUGGAACAAACGGUCCAACAUUCGAUGAAGUUUAAAAUGAAAAAUGGGGCCACGUCAACGUCAGCAGAGCUGAGUGACAAGAGGCGGAGCCAAAGGAAAGGCAACACUUUAAUAACGCCUCAUCCUGACUGACGCGCGUUUGUCCAGAGGAGCGUCCUCCUGAUUGUCCCCUGAUUAAUGCCAGCGUCCUCACAGCGGCUGUCACGGCUGCUGAGCGAGUGUCGGGACUUAGCAUUUAAACUGGCUCUCUAAAUCAACCUGCGUACACAUGCGCUGACUUAUGGCCCAGCGGGUGACACACACACACACACACACAUCACAGUGCCACCACGGUAGGAUUGUGUGCGUCACUCAGCGCUCCGUCCAGGCUCAAAGCGCCUGAUGAAUAACGGAGAGUUAUGGUUGUUGUGCCCGGCCACACACACACUGAUGAGACGAGGUCGACACCGCAGGGUUCCGUUUAAUGUAGCGCCGGAUGCAUUUACAUACAUACAUACAUACAUAUAUACAUAUAUAAAGAGCACAAAAGCAACAACGACUGAUUAAGGAAACAGCUCUGAAAGUCCACCGAAGCGCACUCGUCGUCGUGAAGAGGAAAACGCGGCGAGAGACAGCCGCCGCGAGCCGGUCGGACUGCUGCGAUGCGGAUGAGCGACGCUCCGUAACAAGGCGGCGACGCCGCGGCGAGGAGGCUAAUUGUUCUCAUCAGAUUAAGGGAAUAAUUGUGUGUGGAUACAUCGUCAAAACACGGAAGAGGCAAAUUGGAUCAGAGCAGAUGUUGAAUUAAUUGGUUUUGAGGCUGAUUGCAAUGAUGCUCUCUGUAUUAGCGGGACGGACUAGUGAUUAACACCCUGCCUCUAACACACACACACACACACACACACACAAACCUUUUACCGUACGAGUGCUGUUCUGUUUGCAGGAGAAUAGUCGUUCUGCCGAGCGGGUCAAAGGGACGGUCGACCAUCAAUCGGCAUAAUGUGGAAAAUAUCCAUCUGGCAUCUGUGGCUCAUCUUCCAAAGUGAUUUCCUUUAGUUUUGUUGCAUAAACUACGCAGAAUGUGGCGUCCGGUGUCAGAGUGCUGCGCUCUGCACGCCCACCUUCACCCCGUGAACGCACGCCGUGCACCUGAAAGCCUCAUUCUGUGCACAAGAUGCAGCCGGUGAACACAAUGCAGGCACAAAUGAUGUUUUUCAUACAAACAACAACUGGAAGGGCAAAUUAGUGACAUUCAUCUCCAAGCAGACGGGGUCACAUAUUGAAGAGAUAAAUAUGGAGGUCCUCUCUGGAACCACAGCUGUGUCCUUUCCCUUCUUCCUGGUGUUUGCAGCACUACAGCGAUUGGUCCUCGUAGUACGCGGAGAAGAAAUGAUCCAUCACGUCUGCUCUUUCGUUAUUAGAUUCCUGUGAUUCAUCUCCAGCCCAUUUGGGUGGGAUUCAAAUAAAGGACCAAAAAUAUAUAGAAAAACAAAAGAGCUGACGCAGCAGAUUGAGACCGAGGGAGGAAAUACAGAGAUGUUUAUGAUCAUUUUGCUACCUAGUGAAAAUAGACCUUUGGUCCAGUCUGGAGAAACUACAACUGCAGCUGUGUGUGUUUAGCUCAGCGCUCAUAAUAAGGGAAAUAUAAUAAGAGUCAUGGGAGAGAAAAAGAAAGAUAAAAAUUUUUCACUGUUCAUGAAGAACAAUGAUGUCGCUGUGGACAUUGAAUCAUCGCUGGACCUGCCCGACCAAUCACGGGGGUCAUUCUCUUGUUUACAUCAGAAACUGAAAACAAUUUAACCUUGAGGUCUCUCACAUGCACACACACACACACACACACACACACACACACACACACACACACACACACACACACACACACACACACACACACACACACACACACACACACACACACACACACACACAGGUACACAGAACAAAAAGGACAUGAGAUACACACAUCAAUCACACCUCUAAACAACCUGUCCAUUACCCUGUAAUAGCAUGGCUAUUACACACACACACACACACAGAUAAUGGGUCUUUAAAUUGACCUGUGUGUGUGUGUGUGUGUGUGUCUCCAGUAUAGAGGCCAACGUCCUUGUAUAACACUGUGACAGAGAAUCAAAACCUCUACGAUCCUGAAGUGAAGAAAGCCGAUGAUGUCAUCAGUCGAGCUACACACACACACACACACACACACACACACACACACACACACACACACAUUACUGACAGUAUCAUAGCUCAGGUGACCUGACGGAGACACAGUACCAAUGAACACACACCAGCAGAGGAAGAUACAGGUUGUAAACAUACAAUGUUAACAUAUGAGCACAUUGGGUAGAUAGUUAAUGGUUUAAUUAAACUAAAAAUUAAAAUAUAUUGGUAAGAAUAUGAAUUGGUAACAUCAUUAUAAGAAAUAACGAUAUUACUGUCCGUCAAAACUUAAAGAGAGACUUCACAUCCUGUUCAAAUUGACCCCAGAGGCCUCCUGGCCCCACACACACACACACACACACACACACACACACACACACACUUAGUGUCCACUCAAACCAGCAGCGUGAGACUCAACUUGUACAUCAAUCAUGAUGCUCCUCCUUUUAUUUCAUAUACUGUUUUAUUUGUCUUCUGUUCUGAUUACUUAUUUAAAUAAAAAAAAAUCUGUGCUAUGAAAUUCAUGUUUAAAUGAGCCACUGUGUUUGAUAUGCGACUAAAUAUUAUUGUACUGCUUCAAAAGGUGUCAAGUGUGUAUUUGAAUUACAGGGAAACCCUGUUAAUUAACAAAUCUCACCGUAAACAAACGAGACCCACUGAAGUCGCUCUCUCUCGGACACACACACACACACACACACACACACACACACACACACACACACACACUCUGGAUUCGAUAUUUUGGAGAUGCUGUUUCUUUAUAUGGUAAAUGGAAACUAAAGUAUAGAUUUGAGGACUGCUUUGAAUAAAACCCACUGAAAAGUAAAAUAAUAUAUCAGAAGGGUGUGAGUCAUGUGACUCAUGACUCACUUUUGAAAAAAUGAAUUGUACCGGGUAGAUUCCAGUGACUGCUUGUGUCUAAUUUGACAGUUUGUGGUUGGUAGUUACUCCAGACACGUACAGGAGAAAAAGAGGGCAUUUAAAUAAGAAGAUUGUCUCCAGCAAUCGGCCCCGUUGGAUACGAGAUGCAGCAGCACUAAUAAAAGAGAGGAAAAGCCGUGAUGAAAAUCAGGAGAUGAGGU
Gasterosteus aculeatus aculeatus (three-spined stickleback) is the source of this 4960-nucleotide long non-coding RNA. Lineage: Eukaryota; Metazoa; Chordata; Actinopteri; Perciformes; Gasterosteidae. The record is from Ensembl.